RNAcentral lists this ribosomal RNA (163 nucleotides) under Aristida scribneriana. Its description in RNAcentral is "5.8S ribosomal RNA". It matches the Rfam family "5.8S ribosomal RNA". From Rfam's summary of the family: 5.8S ribosomal RNA (5.8S rRNA) is a component of the large subunit of the eukaryotic ribosome. Lineage: Eukaryota; Viridiplantae; Streptophyta; Magnoliopsida; Poales; Poaceae. The record is from RNAcentral.
CACACGACUCUCGGCAACGGAUAUCUCGGCUCUCGCAUCGUUGAAGAACGUAGCAAAAUGCGAUACCUGGUGUGAAUUGCAUAAUCCCGCGAACCAUCGAGUUUUUGAACGCAAGUUGCGCCCGAAGCCUUCUGGCCGAGGGCACGUCUGCCUGGGCGUCUCG